RNAcentral lists this ribosomal RNA (423 nucleotides) under uncultured bacterium. Its description in RNAcentral is "partial 16S ribosomal RNA". It matches the Rfam family "Bacterial small subunit ribosomal RNA", at positions 360 to 774 of the family's 1533-position model. The record is from RNAcentral.
AAUCUUCCGCAAUGGACGCAAGUCUGACGGAGCAACGCCGCGUGAGUGAUGAAGGUUCUCGGAUCGUAAAACUCUGUUGUUAGGGAAGAACAAGUACCGUUCGAAUAGGUCGGUACCUUUACGGUACCUAACCAGAAAGCCACGGCUAACUACGUGCCAUCAGCCGCGGUAAUACGUAGGUGGCAAGGGUUAUACGGAAUUAGUGGGCGUAAAGCGCGCGCAGGCGGUUUCUUAAGGUUGAUGUGAAAGCCCACGGCUCAACCGUGGAGGGUCAUUGGAAACUGGGGAACUUGAGUGCAGAAGAGGAGAGUGGAAUUCCAUGUGUAGCGGUGAAAUGCGUAGAGAUAUGGAGGAACACCAGUGGCGAAGGCGACUCUCUGGUCUGCAACUGACGCUGAGGCGCGAAAGCGUGGGGAGCAAACA